Small nucleolar RNA from Gossypium raimondii (Peruvian cotton), 107 nucleotides. It matches the Rfam family "Plant small nucleolar RNA R71". Rfam says of the family: R71 is a member of the C/D box family of snoRNAs containing the C (UGAUGA) and D (CUGA) box motifs. Multiple nearly identical copies of this snoRNA have been identified in Arabidopsis, and it is thought to function as a 2'-O-ribose methylation guide for 18S ribosomal RNA. NCBI's taxonomy places the organism in Eukaryota, Viridiplantae, Streptophyta, Magnoliopsida, Malvales, Malvaceae. The record is from Rfam.
AAACCAUGUAUUGGCCAUUUUCUAAUUAACUCAUUGAAUCGCUCCCAUGCUUUAUAUAAUGUUUCAUCCUCAAAUUGUCGAAAAGACGUAAUAUCAUUCUUCAAUUU